UUUGAUGGCGACCGGCGCACGGGUGAGUAACACGUAUCCAACCUGCCGAUGACUCGGGGAUAGCCUUUCGAAAGAAAGAUUAAUACCCGAUGGCAUAGUUCUUCCGCAUGGUAGAACUAAUAAAGAAUUUCGGUCAUCGAUGGGGAUGCGUUCCAUUAGCUUGUUGGCGGGGUAACGGCCCACCAAGGCAUCGAUGGAUAGGGGUUCUGAGAGGAAGGUCCCCCACAUUGGAACUGAGACACGGUCCAAACUCCUACGGAAGGCAGCAG
Molecule: ribosomal RNA, 269 nt
Filed under: uncultured bacterium
Lineage: Bacteria
Description: partial 16S ribosomal RNA
Rfam family: Bacterial small subunit ribosomal RNA
Source: RNAcentral